Molecule: ribosomal RNA, 248 nt
Filed under: uncultured bacterium
Lineage: Bacteria
Description: partial 16S ribosomal RNA
Rfam family: Bacterial small subunit ribosomal RNA
Source: RNAcentral
CAUGCCGUAAACGAUGAUUGCUAGGUGUGGGAGGUCUGACCCCUUCCGUGCCGGAGCUAACGCAAUAAGCAAUCCACCUGGGGAGUACGACCGCAAGGUUGAAACUCAAAGGAAUUGACGGGGGCCCGCACAAGCAGUGGAGUAUGUGGUUUAAUUCGAAGCAACGCGAAGAACCUUACCAGGUCUUGACAUCCAUCGAAUUCCGUGGAGACACGGGAGUGCCCUUCGGGGAACGAUGAGACAGGUGG